GAAUGUCAGGGCAAUCUGGCUGCAACAUCUGUCACUCCAUUGAUUGCCAGGGUUUAUUUGGCUUAUCUGGCUGGCUAGGUGGGCAUCCCUUGUCCCUCCCCGCUCCAUAUGUACCCCACACCCUUCCAGAAGUUGUGCACUUGGUCAGUUGAAGACGGCCUUUGCUGAGAGAAGAGGAAUGUUCAUGGUCAGGGGUAUAAGAGUAGCUGCAUUCCUGUGCUAGAACCUCCAGACAAGCUCUCAAGAUCCAUUUGGAGGAGAAUGUAGGGUAGUCAAGCUUCCAAGACUCAUCCAAGUGAGGUGCUGCAUUGGCAAUCUGCCUUUCUUU
Molecule: small nuclear RNA, 328 nt
Filed under: Felis catus (domestic cat)
Lineage: Eukaryota; Metazoa; Chordata; Mammalia; Carnivora; Felidae
Description: 7SK RNA
Rfam family: 7SK RNA
About the family: 7SK was discovered as an abundant small nuclear RNA in the mid-70s but a possible function has only recently been suggested. Two independent studies have found that 7SK RNA binds the CDK9/cyclin T complex (known as elongation factor P-TEFb).
Source: Rfam by way of RNAcentral